AUCAGCUUCCUCUAAGACCCUUUUGGCUCUGCUCUACCACUGAGGCCCUCAGGCUCUUUUCUGAAAUCUUCACCUCCAUCGCCUCCCUGGGUCGAGGUGGAGAGACCUCCUGAGCGGGCAGAGGCUCAGGCCCCCCCAGAGGCAGAUGGAAGGUUUCCCCCAGCAAGGAGGACAACAUGGGUCUAAAUCUAUCACUGACAUCUCUGCUUAUUAGCUGAUCCUUGCCACCUGGCUAACUCCGACCACAGCAAAACUGAGAGUUCCGAGGGCUUCUCAGAGGGUGGAGAGUGGAAACAGGACAUAAGAGAGAGAAAAUUCCACAGAAGCAAGAACUUGGAGCCACAAGUGACUAUGGGAG
This 358-nucleotide long non-coding RNA is filed under the name Equus caballus (horse). RNAcentral's name for it is "lncRNA (ENSECAG00000051302.1)". The record is from RNAcentral. Lineage: Eukaryota; Metazoa; Chordata; Mammalia; Perissodactyla; Equidae.